This 253-nucleotide ribosomal RNA is filed under the name uncultured bacterium. RNAcentral's name for it is "partial 16S ribosomal RNA". It matches the Rfam family "Bacterial small subunit ribosomal RNA", at positions 524 to 776 of the family's 1533-position model. The record is from RNAcentral.
AACGUAGGUGGCGAGCGUUAUCCGGAUUCACUGGGCGUAAAGGGCACGCAGGCGGCUCGGCAGGUAGGGCAUGAAAUCUCCCGGCUUAACUGGGAGGGGCUGUCCUAAACCGCUGGGCUUGAGGGCGGGAGAGGGAAGUGGAAUUGCCGGUGUAGUGGUGAAAUGCGUAGAGAUCGGCAGGAACACCAGUGGCGAAGGCGACUUCCUGGUCCGCCCCUGACGCUCAUGUGCGAAAGCUAGGGUAGCGAACGGG